Molecule: long non-coding RNA, 310 nt
Organism: Pongo pygmaeus (Bornean orangutan)
Lineage: Eukaryota; Metazoa; Chordata; Mammalia; Primates; Hominidae
Exons: 3
Source: RefSeq, a predicted model, not a curated record
GGAGAAAAAGAAGUGUUCUAUAAGAAAUCUGGACAAGACUCUGCAGGAAGUUAAGAGGUCCUUAAAGGCAACUGUGAGUUAACGGAGACUGGUAUUGAGAAAAUCAGUCCUGAUUUGUUUCUCCUGGAGUUUUCUUCUUUAUGUGAUCCAUCAUAAAAGCUGCUAAUAUGGGAAAGAUUGAAAUCAGCAAGUUUCUGGCUGUAAGCUAAAAGAGGUUCUUGAAUCAUAUUUCCGCCUACUUAGCAAAUUUCUCUUGCGACAAUUGGAUGUUAUUUGGGGUUCCAUACUAGCAGGAAGAAGUACAAGCAAA